GGAUUAGGCAUGCAAGUCGAACGAGAAAGGUCCCUUCGGGGGCUGAGUAGAGUGGCGAACGGGACAGUAACACGUGGGAAACCUGCCCUGCAGUGGGGGAUAACACUUCCAACGAGGUGCUAAUACCGCAUUCGACCGCCGGUCGCAUGGCUGGCUGGUGAAAGGUGGCCUCUGCUUGCAAGCUGCCGCUGCUGGAUGGUCCCGCGCCCGAUUAGCUUGUUGGCGGGGUAACGGCCCACCAAGGCUACGAUCGGUAGGCGACCUGAGAGGGUGACCGCCGUCACUGGGACUGAGAUACGGCCCAGACUCCUACGGGAGGCAGCAGUCGAGAAGCUUCGGCAAUGGGCGAAAGCCUGACCGAGCGACGCCGCGUGAGCGAUGAAGGCCCUAGUGGUCGUAAAGCUCUGUCAGAUUGGGAACAAAUCCCGGGGGCGAACAACCCCCGGUGCUGAGGGUACCGUCAGAGGAAGCACCGGCUAACUCCGUGCCAGCAGCCGCGGUAAUACGGAGGGUGCGAGCGUUGUUCGGAUUCACUGGGUAUAAAGAGUUCGUAGGCGGCCCCGUAAGUCAGAGGUGAAAGCUGUCGGCUCAACCGACAAAUUGCCUUUGAAACUGCAGGGCUUGAGUCCGGGAGAGGAAGGUGGAAUUCCUGGUGUAGCGGUGAAAUGCGUAAAUAUCAGGAGGAACACCGGUGGCGAAGGCGGCCUUCUGGCCCGGCACUGACGCUGAGGAACGAAAGCCAGGGAGCGAACGGGAUUAGAUACCCCGGU
Molecule: ribosomal RNA, 770 nt
Filed under: uncultured bacterium
Lineage: Bacteria
Description: bacterial SSU rRNA
Rfam family: Bacterial small subunit ribosomal RNA
Source: RNAcentral